This 201-nucleotide long non-coding RNA is filed under the name Gossypium raimondii (Peruvian cotton). RNAcentral describes it as "long non-coding RNA (GRAI_LNC004174)". The record is from RNAcentral. Lineage: Eukaryota; Viridiplantae; Streptophyta; Magnoliopsida; Malvales; Malvaceae.
GCUUUUUUUGAAAACUUUUGGAACCCAAAAACAAAUCAAUAGAAAAAAAUAAAAAUUUCAAGGUGAUUAUCUUUAUGGUUUCAUUUUAGAUUUCAUUUCUUUUAUUUGAUUUUUAUUUAUUUUUCUUUUUUUUUCCAGACAAAAAUAAAAAGGGAAAAAGGAGAUAGAACCUCACCUGAAUCGCCUCGCACCAUCACCGGC